UACAAGUCUCUUGGUGCCCCGCUUGGGCUGAAGGACAGUUGUGAGCUGUGUGUUGCAGAAUGCCACCUCACAACAAGCCCAGAACAGCACUCAGCAGACAGGAACAUCUUGAGGUGGAACCACUCAGAACUAGGAGUGCAAGCCAAUGGUUAUCACAGGCAGCUGAAGUCACCUAGCUGAUCUUUAUGGGGGUGCCUCAGAUGUCACAACAAGAGGAGGCCGGUGUCAGCCACCCCAAAGCACCACCAGCCUUAGCAAGCUCAGGGAAGUAAGCACGAGGUUUUACAGCUUCACCUAAGGACACAGCAGCAGCAGGAGGAGGAUGAGCGCGGCUUGGGUGAGGAAGGCAGGCACCUUGCUGUUCCAAGGCUAUGUUGGGAUACUGGUGGGCAGAUCCCACCAGAGCUCUGCAAGGAUGCUCCCAGACCUUCGCAGCACUAAAACCUAAUGCAUGGCAAGAAACAACACCCUUCCCACGAGCUACCACCACAGAUUUUGUUCAGCAUCCAGCUCAACAGCACCACAGCCCCAGUGGAGCAAGGCAAAGAAAGAUGACACUGAUGGUGUCAUCAGCAGCUGAGAGACGCAUCCCAGAACCCCACAGAGAGGAGAAGAGAGGAUGGAGAGGAGAAGAAGGG
This is a non-coding RNA of Meleagris gallopavo (turkey), 638 nucleotides long. Lineage: Eukaryota; Metazoa; Chordata; Aves; Galliformes; Phasianidae. The record is from RefSeq and is a predicted model, not a curated record.